AACGUAGGGGGCGAGCGUUGUCCGGAAUUACUGGGCGUAAAGGGCGCGCAGGCGGUUUCUUAAGUCUUAAGGUGAAAACUCCCGGCUUAACCGGGAGCGUGCCUGAGAAACUGGGGGACUUGAGGGCAGGAGAGGGGAGUGGAAUUCCCAGUGUAGCGGUGAAAUGCGUAGAUAUUGGGAGGAACACCAGUGGCGAAGGCGGCUCUCUGGCCUGUUUCUGACGCUGAGGCGCGAAAGCGUGGGGAGCAAACGGG
Molecule: ribosomal RNA, 254 nt
Filed under: uncultured bacterium
Lineage: Bacteria
Description: partial 16S ribosomal RNA
Rfam family: Bacterial small subunit ribosomal RNA
Source: RNAcentral